CUUCUCAUAAGGGCACUGAUCCCAUUCAUGAAGGCUCCACCCUUAUGACCUAAUUACCUUCCAAAGACACCACCUCCAAUACCUGCACAUUGGGUUCACCAUUUCAUCACAUGAAUUUUGGAGAAUCAUAAACAUUCAGUCCAUUGCACUAACUAAAUGUUCCUUAUUUUUCUCAUUUUCUCUAGGCUGGUGAAGACUUGCUCACAGACCCCAUCAUUCCCCAGAAUAGGUUGCAAAGAUGGAAAUUCUUCUAAACUCUCUCUAGGAUUCCAUCCCUUCCUCUUGAAUUUUAUACUGCUAUCUCAGGCCCUAUCAGCUGGAAAGCUGUUAGUAAAGGAGGACUCAAAUUAACGUCCAACCACUGUCUCCAUUAUUCCCUGUAAUAUGUUCUUAUGUUUUAUCAGUCCCAAUUCUGA
Molecule: long non-coding RNA, 416 nt
Filed under: Equus caballus (horse)
Lineage: Eukaryota; Metazoa; Chordata; Mammalia; Perissodactyla; Equidae
Description: lncRNA (ENSECAG00000047915.1)
Source: RNAcentral